AGGACGAACGCUGGCGGCGUGCCUAACACAUGCAAGUUGAGCGACGAACCAGGGCUUGCCCUGGGGCAAAGCAGCGAACGGGUGAGUAACACGUGGGUAACCUGCCCCGAUGAUUGGGACAACCCGAGGAAACUCGGGCUAAUACCGAAUGUGCUCGCCGGACGUAAGUCCGGCGCGUAAAGGAAGCUUCGGCCUCCGCUUCGGGAGGGGCCCGCGGCCCAUUAGCUAGUUGGUGAGGUAACGGCUCACCAAGGCUUCGAUGGGUAGCUGGUCUGAGAGGACGAUCAGCCACACUGGGACUGAGACACGGCCCAGACUCCUACGGGAGCAGCAGUGGGAAUCUUGCGCAAUGCGCGAAAGCGUGACGCAGCAACGCCGCGUGGGGAAGAAGGCCUUCGGGUGUAAACCCUUUCGACGGAGGACGAAGGUUCGGACGGUGAAGUAGCCGUACCGAACGUGACGGUACC
This 467-nucleotide ribosomal RNA is filed under the name uncultured soil bacterium. RNAcentral describes it as "bacterial SSU rRNA". It matches the Rfam family "Bacterial small subunit ribosomal RNA", at positions 26 to 479 of the family's 1533-position model. The record is from RNAcentral.